This 463-nucleotide ribosomal RNA is filed under the name uncultured bacterium. RNAcentral describes it as "bacterial SSU rRNA". It matches the Rfam family "Bacterial small subunit ribosomal RNA", at positions 30 to 477 of the family's 1533-position model. The record is from RNAcentral.
GCGAACGCUGGCGGCGUACCUAACACAUGCAAGUCGAACGGGGAUCAUAGGGUUAGCAAUAACUCUGUGGUUCUAGUGGCGCACGGGUGAGUAACACGUGGGUAACCUGCCCUUGAGACUGGGAUACCCCCUCGAAAGGGGGGCUAAUACCGGAUACGUUCCUCGGAUCGAAAGGUCUGAGGAGGAAAGGUGGCGAAAGCUGCCGCUCUUGGAGGGGCUCGCGGCCUAUCAGCUAGUUGGCGGGGUAACGGCCCACCAAGGCUAUGACGGGUAGCUGGUCUGAGAGGACGACCAGCCACACGGGGACUGAGACACGGCCCCGACUCCUACGGGAGGCAGCAGUGGGGAAUUUUCCGCAAUGGGCGAAAGCCUGACGGAGUGACGCCGCGUGUGGGACGAAGGCCUUCGGGUCGUAAACCACUGUCAGUGGGAAAGAUGGGUGCCGGCGCGAUAACCGCCGGCA